NUGUAAGUGCGUGUGUGGGUGUGAGUGUGUGAGUGUAAGAGUGUGUGAGAGUGUGAGUGCAUGUAUGUGUUGGAGUGUGAGAGUGUGAGAGUGUGUUGGAGUGUGUGAGUGUGAGUGGAAGUGUGUGAGUGUGUGUGUAUCUGAGUGUGUGUGAGUGUAAGUGUGUGUGUGUGUGUGUGUGUUUAGGGUUGGAGGUUUCCCUGGCACAGAAUCAAGCUCCAGUCUGUCAAGACUCAGAUGCGGGAUUGCCAGAG
Molecule: long non-coding RNA, 254 nt
Filed under: Marmota monax (woodchuck)
Lineage: Eukaryota; Metazoa; Chordata; Mammalia; Rodentia; Sciuridae
Source: RNAcentral